AGUACCAGGGAGAAUAACGUUGCUUCAGCAACGGCCCGCAGGGCGAGGCGCAGCCGAGUAAUCCUCCCGGAUGCACCA
Molecule: small RNA, 78 nt
Filed under: Citrobacter freundii
Lineage: Bacteria; Pseudomonadati; Pseudomonadota; Gammaproteobacteria; Enterobacterales; Enterobacteriaceae
Description: partial RtT sRNA
Rfam family: RtT RNA
About the family: This family represents a bacterial cis-regulatory element known as RtT RNA. The exact function of RtT is unknown although it is thought that it may be involved in changing the cellular response in relation to amino acid starvation.
Source: RNAcentral